Molecule: ribosomal RNA, 288 nt
Filed under: uncultured bacterium
Lineage: Bacteria
Description: partial 16S ribosomal RNA
Rfam family: Bacterial small subunit ribosomal RNA
Source: RNAcentral
GUGGAUUAGAUACCCUGGUAGUCCACGCCGUAAACGAUGUCAACUAGUUGUUGGGUUCCUUGAGGACUUAGUAACGCAGCUAACGCAUUAAGUUGACCGCCUGGGGAGUACGGCCGCAAGGUUAAAACUCAAAUGAAUUGACGGGGGCCCGCACAAGCGGUGGAGCAUGUGGUUUAAUUCGAAGCAACGCGAAGAACCUUACCUGGCCUUGACAUGCUGAGAACUUUCCAGAGAUGGAUUGGUGCCUUCGGGAACUCAGACACAGGUGCUGCACGGUCGUCGACAGCU